Molecule: ribosomal RNA, 354 nt
Filed under: Mollemeta edwardsi
Lineage: Eukaryota; Metazoa; Arthropoda; Arachnida; Araneae; Tetragnathidae
Description: SSU rRNA
Rfam family: Eukaryotic small subunit ribosomal RNA
Source: RNAcentral
UCAUAUGCUUGUCUCAAAGAUAAGCCAUGCAUGUCUAAGUACAUGCCGCACUAAGGCGAAACCGCGAAUGGCUCAUUAAAUCAGUUAUGGUUCCUUGGAUCGUACUUUACUACUUGGAUAACUGUGGCAAUUCUAGAGCUAAUACAUGCAGCAGAGCUCCGACCUCCGGGGACGAGCGCUUUUAUUAGACCAAGACCGAUCGGGCCUCGCGCCCGCGAAACGUGGUGACUCUGUAUAACUUUGGGCUGAUCGCACGGGCUCGUCCCGGCGACGUAUCUUUCAAGUGUCUGCCUUAUCAACUGUCGAUGGUAGGUUACGCGCCUACCAUGGUCGUAACGGGUAACGGGGAAUCAG